UAUUAUUAUUAUUUUAUUAUUAUUAUUAUUAUUAUUAUUAUUAUUAUUAUUAUUAUUAUUAUUAUUAUUAUUAUUAUUAUUAUUAUUAUUAUUUUUUUAUUUUUUUUUAUUGGGGUAGCUCCCAAAAUAUUGGGACAUAUAAAAAAGACAACUCUGUUCCUCAGAGUAGCUGUUGACAUUAUAGUUGCACAGGCACUUUGUUGACUCUAGAGAACCUCGGACCAGUCGUACAUCCCCGUGACGGCGAAUUUGCAUUUGAAUGUCAUCCAUAUCAACUUUCGACGCCAGUUUCUGCGCCUACCAUGGUGACCACGGGUAACGGAGAAUCAGGGUUCCAUUCCAUACAGGGACCCUGAGAAACAGCUACCAUAUGCAAGGAAGGCAGCAGGCGUGCAAAUGACCCACUCCUGAUGCGGGAAGGUAAUGACGACAAAUAACAAUGCAGGACUCUUUAGAGGCCCUGUAAUUGUAAUGAGUUCACUUCAAAUCCUUUAACUCUGAUCAAUUGGAGGGAAAUCUGUUGCAGAGUCACUGACCCGUGCGUGCUGCAGCUGAAACUCCACUA
This 565-nucleotide ribosomal RNA is filed under the name Pelobates cultripes (western spadefoot toad). It matches the Rfam family "Eukaryotic small subunit ribosomal RNA", at positions 108 to 596 of the family's 1831-position model. Lineage: Eukaryota; Metazoa; Chordata; Amphibia; Anura; Pelobatidae. The record is from RNAcentral.